CGGGGCGUGGCGAAGCUUGGUAUCGCGCUUGGUUCGGGUCCAAGAGGCCCCGGGUUCGAAUCCCGGCGCUCCGACCA
RNAcentral lists this transfer RNA (77 nucleotides) under Oscillospiraceae bacterium. Its description in RNAcentral is "tRNA-Pro". It matches the Rfam family "tRNA". Rfam says of the family: Transfer RNA (tRNA) molecules are approximately 80 nucleotides in length. Their secondary structure includes four short double-helical elements and three loops (D, anti-codon, and T loops). Lineage: Bacteria; Bacillati; Bacillota; Clostridia; Eubacteriales; Oscillospiraceae. The record is from RNAcentral.